Molecule: ribosomal RNA, 372 nt
Filed under: uncultured organism
Description: bacterial SSU rRNA
Rfam family: Bacterial small subunit ribosomal RNA
Source: RNAcentral
CGUAGGUGGCAAGCGUUGUCCGGAGUUACUGGAUGUAAAGGGCGUGUAGGCGGGAAGAUAAGUCAGAUGUGAAAUUCCAUGGCUCAACUGUGGCGCUGCAUCUGAAACUAUUUUUCUUGAGUGAUGGAGAGGAAAGUGGAAUUCCUAGUGUAGCGGUGAAAUGCGUAGAUAUUAGGAGGAACACCAGUGGCGAAGGCGACUUUCUGGACAUUAACUGACGCUGAGGCGCGAAAGCGUGGGGAGCAAACAGGAUUAGAUACCCUGGUAGUCCACGCUGUAAACGAUGGAUACUAGGUGUAGGAGGUAUCGACCCCUUCUGUGCCGGAGUUAACACAAUAAGUAUCCCACCUGGGGAGUACGGCCGCAAGGUUG